CAUCGAUGCAGGGCCCAACGGGCAGGAUCUGGCCUACCGCGUGGAGAAGAACGGAGGAUUCGUGAAUGCUGCCACUGGGCAGAAGUCGGAUCUGCUGAUCGAAAUUCCGAAUGGGCCGAGGAGCGAUGCUGCUCAGGCGGUGAAGAAGAUGAAGAUUGAAGAAAUUGAAGAUGAUGAUGAGAUGUAUGAGUAAAUGCCUCUGAAGUCUUCGAGAGGGCUGUAGAUUCUCC
Molecule: long non-coding RNA, 230 nt
Filed under: Eucalyptus grandis
Lineage: Eukaryota; Viridiplantae; Streptophyta; Magnoliopsida; Myrtales; Myrtaceae
Description: long non-coding RNA (EGRA_LNC006518)
Source: RNAcentral